RNAcentral lists this unclassified non-coding RNA (345 nucleotides) under uncultured fungus. RNAcentral's name for it is "sequence contains ITS1". The record is from RNAcentral. Lineage: Eukaryota; Fungi.
AAUCCGAGAAUUUCACCUCUGACAGCGAAAUACGAAUGCCCCCGACCGUCCCUAUUAGCCAUUACCAACAGGUCUACAGGCCAACAAGAUAGACCAUCGGUCAUGUCGUGUUAUCCCAUGCUAGUGUAUUCAGAGCGUACGCUUGCUUUGAACACUCUAUUUUACUCAAAGUAACCUUGGUAAGCCCUGUUCUCGGCGAGUAAACGCCGGGAUACAGCACUUACCAGAAAGACAGCCCACGACAGUACUCACUAAUGCGGACCGUCAGGGCUGCCCGAGGUUCAGCUACGGGCUUUUUAAUCGCAACAACUUACAUAUACGCUAUUGGAGCUGGAAUUACCGCAG